RNAcentral lists this long non-coding RNA (570 nucleotides) under Phoenix dactylifera (date palm). Its description in RNAcentral is "long non-coding RNA (PDAC_LNC021498)". Lineage: Eukaryota; Viridiplantae; Streptophyta; Magnoliopsida; Arecales; Arecaceae. The record is from RNAcentral.
UUCACCGCCAAGAGAUCGUAUCACAGAUCCACCACUGCAGGAGCCCACCACGCAGCAGUUUUUUUUUUUUUUUUUGUUCUGAAAAAAAAGGGAAGGGGGGAGGAAGGGACAAGCCCACCCCUGCGUAGCAGCCCCGACCACUGGGCCCCCACCCCGCCAGAAGAAUAUUCGAUGCGGGUAGACCGAGUUGUGUGUUGGGCACCCCGACCUAUUUUACUCAUACCCUCCCCAUCCGUGGGCCGGCUCAGUUAUCCGACCCGACCCUCCGUGUGAGUACGUCACACCUGGCACCACCCAGGCUACCAGCCGACCAGUAGCGCUUCCAGACCCCGUGUCCAGGCGUGUCUUCAAGCGGAAGCCCUUUCACCAGCCCGUACAAAAAACCACUGGCAAAGAGAUCACCAGCUCCUGUGGCAUCAACAGCGCGUGCCUCCCCUAUAGCUGGAACUCGGACAACCUGAGACACACCAAAUGAUUUCUGAACGUCAAGCAUUCCAAACCCCCCACCGGCAGCAAAAAGGAAGAGAGAGAGAGAGAGAGAGAGAGAGAGAGAGAGAGAGAGAGAGAGAG